GAUGAACGCUGGCGGCGUGCCUAAUACAUGCGAGUCGAGCGAACGGACGAGAAGCUUGCUUCUCUGAUGUUAGCGGCGGACGGGUGAGUAACACGUGGAUAACCUACCUAUAAGACUGGGAUAACUUCGGGAAACCGUAGCUAAUACCGGAUAAUAUUUUGAACCGCAUGGUUCAAAAGUGAAAGACGGUCUUGCUGUCACUUAUAGAUGGAUCCGCGCUGCAUUGGCUAGUUGGUAAGGUAACGGCUUACCAAGGCAACGAUGCAUAGCCGACCUGAGAGGGUGAUCGGCCACACUGGAACUGAGACACGGUCCAGACUCCUACGGGAGGCAGCAGUAGGGAAUCUUCCGCAAUGGGCGAAAGCCUGACGGAGCAACGCCGCGUGAGUGAUGAAGGUCUUCGGAUCGUAAAACUCUGUUAUUAGGGAAGAACAUAUGUGUAAGUAACUGUGCACAUCUUGACGGUACCUAAUCAGAAAGCCACGGCUAACUACGUG
Molecule: ribosomal RNA, 497 nt
Filed under: uncultured bacterium
Lineage: Bacteria
Description: partial 16S ribosomal RNA
Rfam family: Bacterial small subunit ribosomal RNA
Source: RNAcentral